RNAcentral lists this ribosomal RNA (253 nucleotides) under uncultured bacterium. Its description in RNAcentral is "partial 16S ribosomal RNA". It matches the Rfam family "Bacterial small subunit ribosomal RNA", at positions 524 to 776 of the family's 1533-position model. The record is from RNAcentral.
UACAGAGGGUGCGAGCGUUGUCCGGAAUCACUGGGCGUAAAGGGCGCGUAGGUGGCGGAGUAAGCGUGUGGUGAAAGUCCGGGGCUCAACCCCGGAUCGGCCAUGCGAACUGCUUCGCUGGAGCACGGUAGAGGCACAUGGAAUUCCGGGUGUAGCGGUGGAAUGCGUAGAGAUCCGGAAGAACACCGGUGGCGAAGGCGGUGUGCUGGGCCGUUGCUGACACUGAGGCGCGACAGCGUGGGGAGCAAACAGG